Molecule: non-coding RNA, 194 nt
Organism: Camellia sinensis
Lineage: Eukaryota; Viridiplantae; Streptophyta; Magnoliopsida; Ericales; Theaceae
Source: RefSeq, a predicted model, not a curated record
CCCUCGUACAUGAUUCUGGACACACUCCGGGAGGAACUAGCACGUCAUCAUAAUGCUGCACUCAACCUGGAGGUCAACCUUAACAUGUGGCUUCCGUUACCCAGUUGUCAAUCCCUGAGUAUCUAAACUCUUAGAUGUUGACCGUUCAAGUUAUGGAGUUUUGCUAAGUUUUUAAGUUGUACCCUAAAAGUCUG